This 2204-nucleotide long non-coding RNA is filed under the name Oncorhynchus kisutch (coho salmon). Its description in RNAcentral is "lncRNA (ENSOKIG00005033606.1)". Lineage: Eukaryota; Metazoa; Chordata; Actinopteri; Salmoniformes; Salmonidae. The record is from RNAcentral.
GCAGAUUUCAGGUGGAUGAAUUGCAAACAAAGCCAACACUCGCGUCUCUGUGCCCAUCACUUUGAACAUAAGUAUUUUCAGCAUGAUGACAAGGGAAAGGUCUGCCUCAUCCCGACUGCUGUGCCAACCAUUUUCUCCUUCCCUGAUCGUCUUCAAAAGGGGUCAAAAUGCCCAAUUGAAAGACAACGGAAUAUGGUUGGUACAGAGGCUACUGACGUCACCAGGCAACGUUCCCACACCUCAGCUGAGCAAUGAGGAUCAAAAUCCAAUACCGACAAACCCACGCUCUAUCCCAGUUUGCCUGCAUUUUUUUGUCUUCAUUGGCGUGAGUGUUAUUUACUGUUUGUUUUCACAUGCCACAUACCUGAGGUCCUCUUGUGUGUUCCACCUCCAGCUAACGUUGAUCGCAUGCCAUUUAUCCAAAUUCAAUUGUGUUCCAAGCUGGCCGCUGCUGAUUCCUUGCCUCUACCAGAGAGCUACCUGCCUAACUAUAGUGGAGCUGCAGGCUGUAUCACUAGGCGACGUUCCCACACUUCAGCUGAGCAGAGGAUCCAAUACGACAAACCAUGCAGCAGAUCCUCAAUGAUAUAGUGUCUUGGUUAAAUACAAAGACUCCUUUACAUUUGAAUUGACAAUGGUGCUUGUGUGCAUCUAAGAUGUUUUAUAAGCGGCAUGAUUAGAGGCAUAACCAUAUGGCUUUGGAAGUAUAGGAGAAACUAUUGUUAAUGCUAUCUAUCAAUCUUGCAUACUGUUUUCUGAAAGUUAUUUCAAAACAUUUUACUGCAGUGGCCUAAGUCAGGGUCACACAGUGUUUCUUGAUAGUCUUAAACAAAUAUACUUUGAAACAAAAGUACACACCUCACACACAUGGUUAUGGGCUUAAAACAAGACACCUCUAACAUGUCAGUUAUAGAGUUGAAAUGCAUUACAUUUUGAGUGCAUCCCAAUAUUACACUUUAUACAUCAGAGAAGACUGAAAUAUAACAAUCGCUUGACAUAGAAACAACUGAUUUUUGGCAUUACAUUUUAUUUUAUUCAUUAUGAUAUUGUGAAAAAUAUUAAGAACAUUCCAUCCAUGAGGCCACUAGAGGGCGAUUUGGUAAUUUGCCUGCAGGAAACUUUUGUUGGUCCUUUUCCUACAGAAAAUAAUCCAACUCUUAACACUGAUUUGGACUACCUGUUUAUUUCAAAGCACCCACACUGAUGAAAGUGACCUUAUGGAAUUCCUAGAUAUUGUCACACCCUGAUCUGUUUCACCUGUCUUUGUGCUUGUUUCCACCCUGUGUUGUCUGUUGCCAGUUCGUCUUGUCAGGUUUUACCAGCGAGUUUUUCCAUCUCCCUGCUUUAUCAAGUUCUGGUUCUGACUGUUCUGCCUGCCCUGACCCCGAGCCUGCCUGCUGUUCUGUACCUGCCUGACUGUGACCCAUUUACGAACCUCUGCCUACCCUGACCCUCCCUACUGUUCAGUACCUUAUACACCCUGCCCUGGAUUACGGACCUCUGCCUGCCUUUGACCUGUCUUUUGCAUUAAACAAUAAACAUCUCUAGCUGUCUGCAUCUGGGUCUUAUCCUGAGGUAAUGGCAGACUUGGACCAGCUCCACAAUGCUGUCUCCCUUCAAGGAGCCACCAUUGGAAGACACGAGGAGUUACUGCAAUGCCUUUAUGGAAGGACUCCAUACCCUGGCAGAACGCCAUGAUCAGGCAUUCGAUACAAUUCCGCGGAUUCUCUACUGGCCAGUGGGUCACACCAGUAAUUUCCCAGCCUACCCCAGUGUCCCGAGAACCCGAAAGGAGGCAAGUCGGCAGCACUCGGUGACGUCGGGUUCAGGCGGACAUGUAGACUUUGGGGGUUUCCAGGAUUCUUCAGAGGCGAGGUGGGAAUCGAGGAUGAAUGAAAAUGACAGGGCACAGAUUCCUUUUCCCUCCUACGUUCUCGAAGCCACCCAUCGAUCCAGACAGUCAAACUCCAUGGGCAGCUCCCAGGCUCAUCUUUGAUCACCUCCGAUAAUCCAUGAAGGAACAUGUCGAACAAUGCUUCCGGGUUCCAGGCACUCUCAGCCGCCAUCAUGGUCAAAUCCACCGCGUAGUCUGCCACACUACGGGAGUCUUGACGUAGCUGGAGCAGCCUCUCUCCUGGACAACGGAGAAUCAAACACCUUCCGAACUUCUGCCACGAACCCCUCUAGACGGAGCCAGACAGCAG